This 459-nucleotide ribosomal RNA is filed under the name uncultured bacterium. RNAcentral describes it as "partial 16S ribosomal RNA". It matches the Rfam family "Bacterial small subunit ribosomal RNA", at positions 338 to 795 of the family's 1533-position model. The record is from RNAcentral.
CCUACGGGAGGCAGCAGUGAGGAAUAUUGGUCAAUGGACGCGAGACUGAACCAGCCAAGCCGCGUGCGGGAUGAAGGUCCAGAGUAUUGUAAACCUCUUUUGUCAGGGAAUAAAGUCGGGGACGUGUCGCCUGUUGCGUGUACCUGAUGAAAAAGCACCGGCUAAUUCCGUGCCAGCAGCCGCGGUAAUACGGAGGGUGCGAGCGUUAUCCGGAUUUAUUGGGUUUAAAGGGUGCGUAGGCGGGACCUUAAGUUAGCGGGACAAUUCCGGGGCUAAACGCCGUAGAGCCGUUGAAACUGGGGUUCUUGAGUGGGCGAGAGGUAUGCGGAAUGCGUGGUGUAGCGGUGAAAUGCAUAGAUAUCACGCAGAACCCCGAUUGCGAAGGCAGCAUACCGGCGCUUAACUGACGCUGAGGCACGAAAGUGCGGGUAUCGAACAGGAUUAGAUACCCGAGUAGUC